CAUGAUUGUCGGAUUAAAGAUGGCAGUAAUGUUUUCGCUUGGAGAUGAGCUUGCGGCCCAUUAGCUAGUUGGCGGAGUAACAGCCCACCAAGGCUAUGAUGGGUAGCCGGCCUGAGAGGGUGUACGGCCACAUUGGGACUGAGAUACGGCCCAGACUCCUUCGGGAGGCAGCAGUAGGGAAUUUUGCGCAAUGGACGAAAGUCUGACGCAGCAACGCCGCGUGAGUGAUGACGGUCUUCGGAUUGUAAAGCUCUGUUGAGUGGGAAGAAAAGUUCCGUUAAUCGCGGAGCCUGACGGUACCGCUCGAGGAAGCCCCGGCUAACUACGUGCCAGCAGCCGCGGUAAUACGUAGGGGGCGAGCGUUGUUCGGAAUCACUGGGCGUAGAGGGAGCGUAGGCGGGUCUGUAAGUUAGGAGUCUAAUUCCCGGGCUUAACCCGGGGUCGGCUUUUAAUACUGCAGGUCUUGAGUAGGGAAGAGGGAGAUGGAAUUUCAGGUGUAGCGGUGGAAUGCGUAGAUAUCUGAAAGAACACCAGUAGCGAAGGCGGUCUCCUGGAACCAUACUGACGCUGAGGCUCGAAAGUUAGGGGAGCAAACAGGAUUAGAUACCCUGGUAGUCCUAACCGUAAACUAUGGAUACUAGAUGUUGGAGGAGUCAAUCCUUCCGGCGUCGUAGCUAACGCUUUAAGUAUCCCGCCUGGGAAGUACGCCCGCAAGGGUGAAACUCAAAGGAAUUGACGGGGGCCCGCACAAGCGGUGGAGCAUGUGCUUUAAUUCGAUGCAACGCGAAGAACCUUACCUGGGUUUGACAUGGGAGUGAAAGUUCCUAGAGAUAGGAGCCUUUCCGCAAGGAACACUCUACACAGGUGCUGCAUGGUUGUCGUCAGCUCGUGUCGUGAGAUGUUUGGUUAAGUCCAGCAACGAGCGCAACCCUCGCCCUUAGUUGCCAUCAGGUAACGCUGGGAACUCUAAGGGGACCGCCUAGUUUAACUAGGAGGAAGGUGGGGAUGACGUCAAAUCAUCAUGGCCCUUACGUCCAGGGCUAGACACGUGCUACAAUGGUCGGUACAGCGGGAUGCAAGGCGGCGACGUCAAGCAAAUCCCUUAAAACCGAUCUCAGUUCGGAUUGGAGUCUGCAAUCCGACUCCAUGAAGCUGGAAUCGCUAGUAAUCGUGGAUCAGCAUGCCACGGUGAAUACGUUCCCGGGCCUUGUACACAC
RNAcentral lists this ribosomal RNA (1217 nucleotides) under metagenome. RNAcentral's name for it is "bacterial SSU rRNA". It matches the Rfam family "Bacterial small subunit ribosomal RNA", at positions 188 to 1390 of the family's 1533-position model. The record is from RNAcentral.